Molecule: non-coding RNA, 89 nt
Organism: Candidatus Vogelbacteria bacterium
Lineage: Bacteria; Candidatus Vogeliibacteriota
Source: Rfam
GAGAUCUCGUGAUAAAAUGAGAUGAUGAUGGUCACGAGAAGUCAGCUGCGCCGUAGUACUUUUUCCUCCUUGGAGGAAAAAGGAAGGGC